Gasterosteus aculeatus aculeatus (three-spined stickleback) is the source of this 853-nucleotide long non-coding RNA. The record is from Ensembl. Lineage: Eukaryota; Metazoa; Chordata; Actinopteri; Perciformes; Gasterosteidae.
GCUCGCCUGGUCGCUGACAGACAUCGGCUUUGGCCCUGAAGAUAAAUGACCCAAAGUAUUAAGGUUUAACACGUUGACAAAACCCACCUGAUCGGCGGAGAUUAAUGAAACAACGAAAAUCCUUCUUUGGAAAAAAAAGAAGGGGGGGGCGGUUGAUGUGGAGUCACAGGAGAGUAAAUGCCAAGGCAACGUGAGGUCAAACGAUAUUUAGGAUCCAGAGCCGAGAGGCAGAACGAGAGGGCCGUCGCGUGCAGCGGCCAUGGCACACCGCUCCGUGACCACGUCCGCCAUCAGCAGCCGGAGAGACGAGACGAUACGGAGAUUAUCGGGACAAAAAGCCUCCCAGCUUGUCACGGGAUGCAGAGCGUAUUGUACAUCCGCAUGUAUUGAACACAAACCUGUCACCGUCUGCGACAGCCCCAUUCAUCACGCGCAAAGCCAAUCCUGUCAGCGGCACAAUGCGCUCUAUCCACCCCCCACCCCCACUUCUAAGUGACAGCGUUGAAAUGAACAUUAGGACACCCGGGUAUGUAUUCAAAUGAUUUGUUUCUCUUUUUUUCCACCUCCCACAGAAGCCAAUUUCCAGAGGCUAAUAAACUCGGGAGUUAUUUCAUCGCAGAAGAAAAAAAAGGGGGACGGGUUCACUGCGACACCAAAAAGGCCCCGUGGGUGUUUGCAAAUGGAAAACGGCGGAUCUUUCCUGCACAGAUCCAGGAGAUUAUCACCAAGGGUCCGACGCGGGACACCCGAGCCUCGUGGCCGGUCCCACUGGACGGACGGGAGGUGUUUUCCUGAAGGAACCAGCCGACGUCGUGGAGCAGCAGAUGAUAGAGCCGUUAAAGCAGAACUAAGU